RNAcentral lists this ribosomal RNA (122 nucleotides) under Orbiliaceae sp. Its description in RNAcentral is "partial large subunit ribosomal RNA". It matches the Rfam family "Eukaryotic large subunit ribosomal RNA", at positions 99 to 221 of the family's 3401-position model. The record is from RNAcentral. Lineage: Eukaryota; Fungi; Ascomycota; Orbiliomycetes; Orbiliales; Orbiliaceae.
CGGCAACAGCUCAAAUUUGAAAUCUGGAGCCUUCGGCUUCCGAGUUGUAAUUUGAAGAGGAUGUUUCGGUGCGACCUGGGCCUAAGUUCCUUGGAACAGGACGUCAUGGAGGGUGAGAAUCC